CCCCCUCCUACCUGCCGCACCGCACGCACCCUUCUGUCUCUCUGUCUGAGGGGCUACAGGUGUUGUCUGGGGGUCCUGAUGGCUGGUCCAGUGUCUCCUCCCCGGGCCCCUCCUCCUCAGCCCUACCCGUGACCACACCCUCCUCACCCCGUCCACCAAUAGCAACAGUCAGUACCCUUGUUUGUGGACGGUCGGGCGUACAGACGGGAGUCCUGCCUCUUCUCCCUGCGCCCAGCUUCACGGACCAAUCAACAGUGAGAGCCACCCACAGCCACCCAAUCACGUCCGGCUGGGCGGGCCCGGUUGGCCACCUGUCUCCAGCCAUUCCUUCUAACAAACUAUGUGAUUGGUCGAUGCCCACAUGGGCAUGAUCAAUACUGCCCUGGGACCCGGCCCUGGAAGCCCUUUAAUGAACACAUCUUAGAUAAUAGGCGUUCCUCUGCCCAGGCGUUGCCAGAUGUUACAUCUUCUGGAAAGGUAUUUUAAGUAUCAGCUAACCACAUCAUAUUUCAUAGCAACCUGAUGCCCGACAGCAGUCGAUGACGUGGCACGGAACCACUGGUUGAUGAAUGCAACGUCUGAGCAGGGGAAGGCGACCAACGUGUGUGCGCAUGUGAUGCCUGUGUUAGUGUGUGUGCACCUCAAAAAACGAAGGCCUAGAUUCAAUCAGAUCAAGUGUUAACCGGCAAAAGCAGACACCUGCAUAGCGGAUGUUUUGCCUUUGCUGGAGGUGGAUCUGCGUUGGAGCUGUCAAAUCGGCGAGCAGCUGCUCUUGUGAUCAUUGUCACAAAGCCACACUGUCGCACUGGCGUUAGAAGUUCAGAAGGAGAAAGUGGAGGCUCUAUAGAAAUAAUGACGCUCACAUUGAAAAACAUUUAACCAAAUAGUUUCUAUCAUCAUAAUGGAGGUGUAGAUCACAUCUCACAUUCCACCGUUCUGACUUAGAAACAAGGCUGCAUGGGAUUUCUGCUCAUGCCACUCCGUGCAGCCAAUGGCAAUGUCCGCUUUAGGUAUAAUGCCAGGAGGCGCUUGUGGAUUUGACAGCUUCUAACGCAGUCCUACCUCCGGCACCGCCGAAACGACCGCUGUGCGGAUGUUGGACAAAGUGGAUCUGAUUGAAUCAACCCUAAAUGUCUCUGCCUGCUUUCAAAUGACUUAUCAUUUUGUUUGUGGUUCAGCCCUGACAGACUAACUCUGGGCCCUGACAGACUAGCUCUGGGACCUGACAGACUAACUCUGAGCCCUGGGCCCUGACAGACUAACUCUGGGCCCUGACAGACUAACUCUGGGCCCUGACAGACUAACUCUGGGACCUGACAGACUAACUCUGAGCCCUGGGCCCUGACAGACUAACUCUGGGCCCUGACAGACUAGCUCUGGGACCUGACAGACUAACUCUGAGCCCUGGGCCCUGACAGACUAACUCUGAGCCCUGGGCCCUGGGCCCUGACAGACUAACUCUGGGCCCUGACAGACUAACUCUGGGCCCUGACAGACUAACUCUGGGCCCUGGUCCCUGACAGACUAACUCUGAGC
Molecule: long non-coding RNA, 1536 nt
Organism: Oncorhynchus gorbuscha (pink salmon)
Lineage: Eukaryota; Metazoa; Chordata; Actinopteri; Salmoniformes; Salmonidae
Exons: 3
Source: RefSeq, a predicted model, not a curated record